This 57-nucleotide transfer RNA is filed under the name Bos taurus (domestic cattle). It matches the Rfam family "tRNA", at positions 8 to 63 of the family's 71-position model. Rfam says of the family: Transfer RNA (tRNA) molecules are approximately 80 nucleotides in length. Their secondary structure includes four short double-helical elements and three loops (D, anti-codon, and T loops). Further hydrogen bonds mediate the characteristic L-shaped molecular structure. tRNAs have two regions of fundamental functional importance: the anti-codon, which is responsible for specific mRNA codon recognition, and the 3' end, to which the tRNAs corresponding amino acid is attached (by aminoacyl-tRNA synthetases). tRNAs cope with the degeneracy of the genetic code in two manners: having more than one tRNA (with a specific anti-codon) for a particular amino acid; and 'wobble' base-pairing, i.e. permitting non-standard base-pairing at the 3rd anti-codon position. The record is from Rfam by way of RNAcentral. Lineage: Eukaryota; Metazoa; Chordata; Mammalia; Artiodactyla; Bovidae. RNAcentral also lists the same sequence under 4 other names.
UAGCUCAGCUGGUAAAGAAUCUGCCUGCAAUGCAGGAAACCCAGGUUCGAUCCCUGG